GAUCCUGGCUCAGGAUGAACGCUGGCGGCGUGCUUAACACAUUCAAGUCGAACGGAGAACGGGGAGCUUGCUCCCCGGGAUCAGUGGCGGACGGGUGAGUAACGCGUGAGCAACCUGCCUGUGUGUGGGGGAUAACACCCGGAAACGGGUGCUAAUACCGCAUAACGCAACGGAGCCGGAUGACUUUGUUGCCAAAGAUAUAUUGCGCACAGAUGGGCUCGCGUCUGAUUAGAUAGUUGGUG
Molecule: ribosomal RNA, 242 nt
Filed under: uncultured bacterium
Lineage: Bacteria
Description: partial 16S ribosomal RNA
Rfam family: Bacterial small subunit ribosomal RNA
Source: RNAcentral